CCUGUCCCUAGAGGCAUUGCAGGUGUGGCUACUGUGUCUGUCGCAUGUGUGUCAGUAGGUGGUAGAGAGGGAAAGGCCAUGUCUACACUCAGUGUCCUGACUUGGGAACAUCUGAAUGAUCAGUAGCCUAACACU
RNAcentral lists this small nucleolar RNA (135 nucleotides) under Mus caroli (Ryukyu mouse). RNAcentral describes it as "predicted gene, 24257 (MGP_CAROLIEiJ_G0036714.1)". It matches the Rfam family "Small nucleolar RNA SNORA17". From Rfam's summary of the family: snoRNA ACA 17 belongs to the H/ACA family of snoRNAs and is predicted to guide pseudouridylation of the 28S rRNA at positions U4659 and U4598. It shares the same host gene together with ACA43. NB This family has a high threshold value to exclude a large number of closely related sequences that do not appear to have conserved H and ACA boxes, and may be pseudogenes. The record is from RNAcentral. Lineage: Eukaryota; Metazoa; Chordata; Mammalia; Rodentia; Muridae.